This 192-nucleotide microRNA precursor is filed under the name Setaria italica (foxtail millet). RNAcentral's name for it is "MIR1435 microRNA precursor family". It matches the Rfam family "MIR1435 microRNA precursor family". RNAcentral also lists the same sequence under 1 other name. The record is from Rfam by way of RNAcentral. Lineage: Eukaryota; Viridiplantae; Streptophyta; Magnoliopsida; Poales; Poaceae.
UAGGGCUGUCUUAAGUCAAACUAUCUUAAGCUUGACCAAAUUUAUAAAGAAACGCAACAAUAUUUAUGACACCAAAUAGGUAUAUGAAAAUAUAUUUCAAAUCUAAUGGUACCUAUUUGGUAUCAUAAGUACUGGCAUUUUUUUGUAUAAACUUGGUCAAACUUAGGAUGAUUUGACUUAGGACAAAGCUAA